CACGUAACCAAUAUCUUACUUCCUACCCACGUAUCACUUUUGUUUUCUGCCUUUCCUUCUCCAAAAUAAUAUAUUUUCCUCAGUUCUAAUCCAGGUUCUUAAAAUUGGACCAGACUAGGUUCAACUGGAAACUGGUCACCUGUCCGGUUCAAAAGUCUCUCAUAACCGUUCUGGCAUCAUCGAACUGGUGACUAACAGGUGAAAAAUCGAUCAAAUCGACGGUUUGAGCAGGUCAUCGUUCCUAAAAAAAAAGCAUCUUUUCAAGGGAUCAAAAUGAUGUCGUUUCACCUUUUUUUUUCUUUCUCACAAAAGAGGAAAGAUAGAAACUCUCAAUCUCUGACAAAAGCUAACCCUAACACUCUCAAUCUCUCAUGAGUCUCACGCUUCUUCUUCUCAUAGAGGCACCUUCUCUAUCGACCUCGUGCACCUUCUUUAGCAAAUUGGUUUUCCCCGCAGCGAAGUAGGGGACAAAUUUGAGUUUAGAAUCUCUCCUCUCAUUCCUUGCUUCAGGUUGCUUAAUCUGUUUCUCAAUCUCGCACCUUCUCCGGCAAAAGGAACUUCUUCAGGUGGGUUAGUGCCCCCAAUACAAAUGCCAACGUUAUUCCAAUCAUGUUUGAGUUGAUGUAACCAAUCUUUAUAAUUAAAAUUAUAUCAAUUACUUUUAGUUCUUAUUUCUUUUUUUUUAGAGUUAUAUUAAAUUUUUUUAAAAAAUAUUAGUUUAUUGAAAUUGGUUCAAUUUGAAUACUAUUGAACCUUGAACCAGUGUGUGUUCACUUAGUGACUGGUCCAGUUUAAAAAUCUUGAUUUUGAUAAUAAUAAUUAAAAUAAUUUUUAUUUUUAUUUUUA
Long non-coding RNA from Glycine soja, 846 nucleotides. RefSeq lists it as uncharacterized. The record is from RefSeq and is a predicted model, not a curated record. NCBI's taxonomy places the organism in Eukaryota, Viridiplantae, Streptophyta, Magnoliopsida, Fabales, Fabaceae. The transcript is spliced from 2 exons.